ACUCCUACGGGAGGCAGCAGUGGGGAAUAUUGCAGCAAUGGGCGCAAGCCUGAUGCAGCCAUGCCGCGUGUAUGAAGAAGGCCUUCGGGUUGUAAAGUACUUUCAGCAGUGAGGAAGGGUGGAGUUCGUUAAUAGGCGGCUCAUUUUGACGUUAGCUGCAGAAGAAGCACCGGCUAACUCCGUGCCAGCAGCCGCGGUAAUACGGAGGGUGCGAGCGUUAAUCGGAAUUACUGGGCGUAAAGCGCAUGCAGGUGGUUUGUUAAGUCAGAUGUGAAAGCCCGGGGCUCAAGCCU
RNAcentral lists this ribosomal RNA (293 nucleotides) under uncultured bacterium. RNAcentral describes it as "partial 16S ribosomal RNA". It matches the Rfam family "Bacterial small subunit ribosomal RNA", at positions 335 to 616 of the family's 1533-position model. The record is from RNAcentral.